This is a non-coding RNA of Obelidium mucronatum, 72 nucleotides long. NCBI's taxonomy places the organism in Eukaryota, Fungi, Chytridiomycota, Chytridiomycetes, Chytridiales, Chytriomycetaceae. The record is from the annotation of a GenBank genome assembly.
UCCGAAUUCGUCUAGUGGCCAAGAUUCCGCCCUCUCACGGCGGCGACCGGGGUUCAAUUCCCCGAUUCGGAG